RNAcentral lists this ribosomal RNA (668 nucleotides) under Micrococcus terreus. Its description in RNAcentral is "bacterial SSU rRNA". It matches the Rfam family "Bacterial small subunit ribosomal RNA", at positions 67 to 748 of the family's 1533-position model. The record is from RNAcentral. Lineage: Bacteria; Bacillati; Actinomycetota; Actinomycetes; Micrococcales; Micrococcaceae.
CGAUGAAGCCCAGCUUGCUGGGUGGAUUAGUGGCGAACGGGUGAGUAACACGUGAGUAACCUGCCCUUGACUCUGGGAUAAGCCUGGGAAACUGGGUCUAAUACUGGAUAUGACUUCUCACCGCAUGGUGGGGGGUGGAAAGAUUUAUUGGUCUUGGAUGGACUCGCGGCCUAUCAGCUUGUUGGUGAGGUAAUGGCUCACCAAGGCGACGACGGGUAGCCGGCCUGAGAGGGUGACCGGCCACACUGGGACUGAGACACGGCCCAGACUCCUACGGGAGGCAGCAGUGGGGAAUAUUGCACAAUGGGCGCAAGCCUGAUGCAGCGACGCCGCGUGAGGGAUGACGGCCUUCGGGUUGUAAACCUCUUUCAGUAGGGAAGAAGCGAAAGUGACGGUACCUGCAGAAGAAGCGCCGGCUAACUACGUGCCAGCAGCCGCGGUAAUACGUAGGGCGCGAGCGUUAUCCGGAAUUAUUGGGCGUAAAGAGCUCGUAGGCGGUUUGUCGCGUCUGCCGUGAAAGUCCGGGGCUUAACCCCGGAUCUGCGGUGGGUACGGGCAGACUAGAGUGCAGUAGGGGAGACUGGAAUUCCUGGUGUAGCGGUGAAAUGCGCAGAUAUCAGGAGGAACACCGAUGGCGAAGGCAGGUCUCUGGGCUGUAACUGACGCUG